UUAAGUUCAGCGGGUAGUCCUACCUGAUUUGAGAUCAAACGUUCAAAAGCUGUCCUCCAUGGGAAGAGGACGUCUGUGAGCUCCAGCGAACCUCCAUCACUGAAGGUUACCUGGUGGAAGAGCGCAGGCGUAGAUAGUUAUCACACCCGUGAUGCCACCAAACACUGGCAAGCUGAUUCAUUUGAGAGGAGCCGACGGUU
This 200-nucleotide unclassified non-coding RNA is filed under the name Tomentella sp. RNAcentral's name for it is "partial internal transcribed spacer 2". The record is from RNAcentral. Lineage: Eukaryota; Fungi; Basidiomycota; Agaricomycetes; Thelephorales; Thelephoraceae.